RNAcentral lists this small RNA (29 nucleotides) under Bombyx mori (domestic silkworm). RNAcentral's name for it is "ovarian small RNA-32731". Lineage: Eukaryota; Metazoa; Arthropoda; Insecta; Lepidoptera; Bombycidae. The record is from RNAcentral.
UGAUCUAGUUUUCCUGAUGACACCUUCAU